AGCAGUAGCCACGGGAAUACGAAGGGUGCAAGCGUUAAUCGGAAUUACUGGGCGUAAAGCGUGCGUAGGCGGUGAGUUAAGUCUGCUGUGAAAUCCCCGGGCUCAACCUGGGAAUGGCAGUGGAUACUGGCUCGCUAGAGUGUGUCAGAGGAUGGUGGAAUUCCCGGUGUAGCGGUGAAAUGCGUAGAAAUCGGGAGGAACAUCAGUGGCGAAGGCGGCCAUCUGGGACAACACUGACGCUGAGGCACGAAAGCGUGGGGAGCAAACAGGAUUAGAUGCCCCCGUAGUCCCUGUCUCUUAUAC
Molecule: ribosomal RNA, 303 nt
Filed under: uncultured bacterium
Lineage: Bacteria
Description: partial 16S ribosomal RNA
Rfam family: Bacterial small subunit ribosomal RNA
Source: RNAcentral